This is an RNA transcript of Bombyx mori (domestic silkworm), 1097 nucleotides long. RefSeq lists it as uncharacterized. The record is from RefSeq and is a predicted model, not a curated record. The transcript is spliced from 6 exons. NCBI's taxonomy places the organism in Eukaryota, Metazoa, Arthropoda, Insecta, Lepidoptera, Bombycidae.
UUUCAGCCUAUCCAGUCUCUGUCGCAUUCACGUCUAGCCUUGCUACGUACCGAAACUAAAUUAUUGAUUAAGUUAUUGAAUAGCAUUAAUUUACAUGUUUUCCUCGAAGUUACCUUCUUUUUUAAAUAUUAACACCUUCGCUGCGGAACAGACUCGUAUCGGCCCACCGCAUUACUUUUAGCUGGUGCGGACGAUUAUUUCAGGUUUGCAAGAGCUCGCUACCGACAACUAUCAACUAUAAAUUAUAUACACUGUGUUUUCUCAUAAUUAUAGCAUUUUAAUUUACCUUAGCGCUGAUAUGUCGAGAAAGGACUGCUACGCACUGAUGGAAACAUCUUUGGGGGGCACAUUUCGAUUCACCGCUGCACCAAAUGAUGGCUUAUGAUUUAAAAGAUGACAUGUGUGGAUGCAUUUACUUGUGUUCAUAACGCGAAACGCAUAUGUGGAUUAGACUCUGAAAGCCGAGAACUGAGGUGGUUUUUGAAUAAAUGCGAUUUACUGGAAUUUAAUUGUGAAUACAAAAGUCAAUUCCAAAUAGUGCCAAAGUCCAAAUGUAAGAACAUACCACAGAUAUAGUUGUUUACAUAACAAACAUUUCCUAGAGUUAAAUACAUUAAUGGAAGUUUGUUGUAUUCUUAGACAAUAGUUCUAUAUCUUCUUUGCUUCAUGAUAUUAACUGUCAAUUCACACGGACCUCCACAAGAGAGGGAUAAUGAGGACAUAGCGAUGGGGCGGAAGGUAAAAAAAAUGGGUGCUAAGUGGUGCAACAUGGCGAAGGCGUGCAACCACGACCGCGUCCCGAUCUGCGGUAUCAGUCACGCUGGAGAUGUCGUCGGCUUCAGAGAUCUAUGCGACAUGUUCGAUUAUAACUGCAUUAGACGUAGAAAUUACAGACAAACAGCAUGUCCCGAGGAUAAAUCGAUGCUAACUGUCUCCCGUCGUCCAACAAACAGCUAUUACGAUGACUAAUUAAAUUCCUGCCCUGUUUUUCUUGAACAUUUUCUCUUAUGUAUACCUUUUAUUAACUAGAGUCAACUGUUUUAAGUGUGAUAUCUAUUACAUUAUUUUUUUGAAGUAAAGCUACAUAUGUAAACCAA